UGCUUUUUUGGCUUUUUUGUGACGUAUGAAAUGUUUAUUCCAACUUCUGACAUCACGAUCUUUCUGUCAUUAUUGCUGCCUCCACAGGUUCACGUGAUAUAGCCCGCUAAAUUAUACAGCUGCAUUAAGAUAGCGAUGGAGGAUAUUUGUGAUGUAGCGUUUUUCACUUGCGAGGUGAAGGGAGUGAGUUCUAUGAGCAACAAGGUCGAAGGCUAGGCAAUGCUGAUGUCCUCUUUGAGCCUGAACCAACGAACCAGCAAGAUCGUAAUGCUGUGCUGUGUUUCACCCGAAUCAGUGGUUUCAGUGGUUCCAGAGUCGUUCUCGGGCAUGUUGCUGCUGAGGCUGCUAGGUGGCUCUCUCCACUGCUUCUCGGACCUUUCUCUGCAGCUGGGAUGGUGCUAUUCGACGAACACUCCACUAGUUCUACUAGUCGGAGUUGGCGGUACAGGGCUAUCACAGUAUCCGUCUCCAUCGUUGGCCCACUCAGUAAGGAGUUUAAGGUCCGAGAUGCCUUGGUGGGAGCUGCCAGUGACCUCGACGGCCUCAUCUUGGGGAACGACGAUGGCCUUGGAGACAGGAGACUAGAGCGGAGGUCCUAAAUCCGCUACCCCGGCUUUUUUAAAAGCCACCAAGUUUCCAAAUGAGUUGCCUUGUACUAUACACACAGUACUACUGUUAUCAUAAUUCAAAGGUGUUGCUUACCUAAGUACAUGUGUACAUGCAAUUACACUAUUAUUAUUGCACACUAACAUACAC
Halichondria panicea is the source of this 756-nucleotide long non-coding RNA. RefSeq lists it as uncharacterized. The transcript is spliced from 2 exons. The record is from RefSeq and is a predicted model, not a curated record. Lineage: Eukaryota; Metazoa; Porifera; Demospongiae; Suberitida; Halichondriidae.